Molecule: transfer RNA, 73 nt
Filed under: Ovis aries (sheep)
Lineage: Eukaryota; Metazoa; Chordata; Mammalia; Artiodactyla; Bovidae
Rfam family: tRNA
About the family: Transfer RNA (tRNA) molecules are approximately 80 nucleotides in length.
Source: Rfam by way of RNAcentral
UCCCUAGUGGCUCAGAUGGUAAAAGCAUCUGCCUGCAAUGUGGGAGACCUGGGUUCGAUCCCUGGUUUGUGAA